RNAcentral lists this ribosomal RNA (846 nucleotides) under Triticum aestivum (bread wheat). Its description in RNAcentral is "partial small subunit ribosomal RNA". Lineage: Eukaryota; Viridiplantae; Streptophyta; Magnoliopsida; Poales; Poaceae. The record is from RNAcentral.
AUGCUCCCAGCCUCCAAACGACCACUCUCCCCCGCUCAGCUCCCACACUCGCCUCCCAUGGCGUCCCUCCUCUUCCUGCCGCGCACGACGCCCACGGCCUCCCCGCGCGCCGCGGCCAGGCCCAGGGCCGGGGCCAUCACCUGCGGCCCGCGCGACAACCGCGGCCCGCUCCAGCGCGGCCGCUCCCUCUCCACGGAGGCCAUCCACGCCGUGCAGUCCCUCAAGCGCCUCACCGCCGCCGACCGCUCCCCGUCGGCCGCCCGCGGCGCGGCCUCCGCGUCCCUCGGCCGCCUCCUCCGGGCCGAUCUCCUCGCCGCCAUGGCCGAGCUCCAGCGGCAGGGCCACUGGUCCCUCGCCCUCGCCGCGCUCCACGUGGCGCGCGCCGAGCCCUGGUACCGGCCCGACCCGGAGCUCUACGCCACGUUCGUCUCCUCCUCGCCGCCCUCCGAGGCCGCCGGCGGCGCCGUGGACGCGCUCGUGGAGGCGUUCCUCGAGGAGAAGGAGGAGCGGCGCGGCGGCGGGCGGCUCUCGGAGUCGGAGGGGCCGUGGGUGGGGGUGGACGUGUACAAGCUCACGAGGCUGGUGCGCGCGCUGGUGGCCAAGGGCAGGGCGCGCGCGGCGUGGCGGGUGUACGAGGCGGCGGUGAGGAGGGGAGGCUGCGAGGUGGACGAGUACAUGUACCGGGUGAUGGCGCGGGGGAUGAAGCGGCUGGGGCUCGAGGCCGAGGCGGCGGAGGUGGAGGCCGACUUCGCCGAGUGGGAGGCCAGGGUCUCGCCGCCGGCGAGGCACCUGCUCGACGAAAUGCGCGCGAGGGAGGAGAGCAACAAGACGACGACGACGGCUUAG